This 1430-nucleotide ribosomal RNA is filed under the name Limosilactobacillus reuteri. RNAcentral's name for it is "bacterial SSU rRNA". It matches the Rfam family "Bacterial small subunit ribosomal RNA". Lineage: Bacteria; Bacillati; Bacillota; Bacilli; Lactobacillales; Lactobacillaceae. The record is from RNAcentral.
AGUCGUACGCACUGGCCCAACUGAUUGAUGGUGCUUGCACCUGAUUGACGAUGGAUCACCAGUGAGUGGCGGACGGGUGAGUAACACGUAGGUAACCUGCCCCGGAGCGGGGGAUAACAUUUGGAAACAGAUGCUAAUACCGCAUAACAACAAAAGCCACAUGGCUUUUGUUUGAAAGAUGGCUUUGGCUAUCACUCUGGGAUGGACCUGCGGUGCAUUAGCUAGUUGGUAAGGUAACGGCUUACCAAGGCGAUGAUGCAUAGCCGAGUUGAGAGACUGAUCGGCCACAAUGGAACUGAGACACGGUCCAUACUCCUACGGGAGGCAGCAGUAGGGAAUCUUCCACAAUGGGCGCAAGCCUGAUGGAGCAACACCGCGUGAGUGAAGAAGGGUUUCGGCUCGUAAAGCUCUGUUGUUGGAGAAGAACGUGCGUGAGAGUAACUGUUCACGCAGUGACGGUAUCCAACCAGAAAGUCACGGCUAACUACGUGCCCAGCAGCCGCGGUAAUACGUAGGUGGCAAGCGUUAUCCGGAUUUAUUGGGCGUAAAGCGAGCGCAGGCGGUUGCUUAGGUCUGAUGUGAAAGCCUUCGGCUUAACCGAAGAAGUGCAUCGGAAACCGGGCGACUUGAGUGCAGAAGAGGACAGUGGAACUCCAUGUGUAGCGGUGGAAUGCGUAGAUAUAUGGAAGAACACCAGUGGCGAAGGCGGCUGUCUGGUCUGCAACUGACGCUGAGGCUCGAAAGCAUGGGUAGCGAACAGGAUUAGAUACCCUGGUAGUCCAUGCCGUAAACGAUGAGUGCUAGGUGUUGGGAGGGUUUCCGCCCUUCAGUGCCGGAGCUAACGCAUUAAGCACUCCGCCUGGGGAGUACGACCGCAAGGUUGAAACUCAAAGGAAUUGACGGGGGCCCGCACAAGCGGUGGAGCAUGUGGUUUAAUUCGAAGCUACGCGAAGAACCUUACCAGGUCUUGACAUCUUGCGCUAACCUUAGAGAUAAGGCGUUCCCUUCGGGGACGCAAUGACAGGUGGUGCAUGGUCGUCGUCAGCUCGUGUCGUGAGAUGUUGGGUUAAGUCCCGCAACGAGCGCAACCCUUGUUACUAGUUGCCAGCAUUAAGUUGGGCACUCUAGUGAGACUGCCGGUGACAAACCGGAGGAAGGUGGGGACGACGUCAGAUCAUCAUGCCCCUUAUGACCUGGGCUACACACGUGCUACAAUGGACGGUACAACGAGUUGCAAACUCGCGAGAGCAAGCUAAUCUCUUAAAGCCGUUCUCAGUUCGGACUGUAGGCUGCAACUCGCCUACACGAAGUCGGAAUCGCUAGUAAUCGCGGAUCAGCAUGCCGCGGUGAAUACGUUCCCGGGCCUUGUACACACCGCCCGUCACACCAUGGGAGUUUGUAACGCCCAAAGUCGGUGGCCUAACCUUUAU